This 493-nucleotide ribosomal RNA is filed under the name uncultured bacterium. RNAcentral describes it as "partial 16S ribosomal RNA". It matches the Rfam family "Bacterial small subunit ribosomal RNA", at positions 29 to 523 of the family's 1533-position model. The record is from RNAcentral.
AUUGAACGCUGGCGGCAUGCUUUACACAUGCAAGUCGAACGGUAACAGGUUGAGCUGACGAGUGGCGAACGGGUGAGUAAUGCAUCGGAACGUGCCCGAUCGUGGGGGAUAACACUUCGAAAGAAGUGCUAAUACCGCAUACGAUCUGAGGAUGAAAGCGGGGGACCGUAAGGCCUCGCGCGAUGGGAGCGGCCGAUGUCAGAUUAGGUAGUUGGUGGGGUAAAGGCUCACCAAGCCGACGAUCUGUAGCUGGUCUGAGAGGACGAGCAGCCACACUGGGACUGAGACACGGCCCAGACUCCUACGGGAGGCAGCAGUGGGGAAUUUUGGACAAUGGGCGCAAGCCUGAUCCAGCAAAGCCGCGUGCAGGAAGAAGGCCUUCGGGUUGUAAACUGCUUUUGUACGGAGCGAAAAGGCUCCCUCUAAUACAGGGGGCUCAUGACGGUACCGUAAGAAUAAGCACCGGCUAACUACGUGCCAGCCGCCGCGGUAA